RNAcentral lists this long non-coding RNA (234 nucleotides) under Hordeum vulgare. RNAcentral's name for it is "long non-coding RNA (HVUL_LNC009837)". Lineage: Eukaryota; Viridiplantae; Streptophyta; Magnoliopsida; Poales; Poaceae. The record is from RNAcentral.
UUCUUCUUCAUCGAUCAAGGAUGGGUUCUAGGCCGGCAGCCUCGGAUAGCAAGGAUGGACGUCGUUCUUCUUUUCUCGUUUGGUUUCCUCCGUAGUCGGACCCUGCUCUUCUUCAUGAUGAUUAUGUAUUGUACUGAUGUGACUCUGAUGUAGCUUGUGGCAAGUGUAAGUGUUAGGUCAUAUUUAUGCCUAAGUAAUUUUGGUGAUUGAUGACAGUACCGUAAAGGACUAAUC